RNAcentral lists this ribosomal RNA (574 nucleotides) under Yersinia pestis. RNAcentral describes it as "bacterial SSU rRNA". It matches the Rfam family "Bacterial small subunit ribosomal RNA", at positions 1 to 561 of the family's 1533-position model. The record is from RNAcentral. Lineage: Bacteria; Pseudomonadati; Pseudomonadota; Gammaproteobacteria; Enterobacterales; Yersiniaceae.
CUUAAAUUGAAGAGUUUGAUCAUGGCUCAGAUUGAACGCUGGCGGCAGGCCUAACACAUGCAAGUCGAGCGGCAGCGGGAAGUAGUUUACUACUUUGCCGGCGAGCGGCGGACGGGUGAGUAAUGUCUGGGGAUCUGCCUGAUGGAGGGGGAUAACUACUGGAAACGGUAGCUAAUACCGCAUGACCUCGCAAGAGCAAAGUGGGGGACCUUAGGGCCUCACGCCAUCGGAUGAACCCAGAUGGGAUUAGCUAGUAGGUGGGGUAAUGGCUCACCUAGGCGACGAUCCCUAGCUGGUCUGAGAGGAUGACCAGCCACACUGGAACUGAGACACGGUCCAGACUCCUACGGGAGGCAGCAGUGGGGAAUAUUGCACAAUGGGCGCAAGCCUGAUGCAGCCAUGCCGCGUGUGUGAAGAAGGCCUUCGGGUUGUAAAGCACUUUCAGCGAGGAGGAAGGGGUUGAGUUUAAUACGCUCAAUCAUUGACGUUACUCGCAGAAGAAGCACCGGCUAACUCCGUGCCAGCAGCCGCGGUAAUACGGAGGGUGCAAGCGUUAAUCGGAAUUACUGGGCGU